RNAcentral lists this unclassified non-coding RNA (192 nucleotides) under rhizosphere metagenome. Its description in RNAcentral is "partial ribosomal RNA internal transcribed spacer region". The record is from RNAcentral.
GAGAUUGGUUGGGUAACACCUUCUAAACCUCCCACCCUUUGUUUACAUUACCUUUGUUGCUUUGGCAGGCCCGUCUUUAGACCACCGGCCUUGGCUGGUCAGCGCCUGCCAGAGGACCUAAAACUCUGUUUAAUUGUAUUGUCUGAGUACUAUAUAAUAGUUAAAACUUUCAACAACGGAUCUCUUGGUUCU